AUGGAUUCCAGAACAGCAUUCUGCGGCGCUCUGCUACUGCUGGUGACGCUGCUGCCUCUUUCAGCCAGCGCGCCGAGCAAACUCUACAUUGUGUAUAUGGGGGAGAAGAAACAUGAUGACCCGUCCGUGGUCAUCGCGUCGCACCAUGACAUGCUAAUAUCUGUUUUUGGGAGUUACAAGCAUGGAUUUUCUGGGUUCGCGGCUAUGCUAACAAAAUCUCAAGCUGUGGCAAUCGCAAAAUUUCCUGAAGUUGUCUCUGUGAACACUAAUAUUUUUCACAAAACGCACACAACUCGGAGCUGGGAUUUCCUUGGCCUUGACUAUAAUCAACCGCCACAACAACCGGGGCUCCUCAAAAGAGCAAAGUAUGGUGAAGAUGUCAUUGUGGGUGUGAUCGAUACAGGCAUAUGGCCUGAAUCACGAAGCUUUGAUGACAACGGCUAUGGCCCCGUGCCGGCACGGUGGAAAGGAAAAUGCCAGAGUGGCGAGAAGUUCAACGCCACUAGUUGCAACAGAAAGAUCAUCGGUGCGCGGUGGUAUGGCCGUGGCAUCAGUGCCGAGUCAUUAAAGAUCGACUACAAGUCACCUAGGGACCUCAAUGGCCAUGGCACACACGUCGCCUCAACUAUCGCCAGUGGGGAAGUGCAGGGCGUCAGCUAUGGAGGCCUAGGCAUGGGUGUGGCACGUGACGGAGCACCACGUGCACGACUUGGUAUCUACAAGGUGUGCUGGCUGGAUGAGGGUUGCCCUGACACGGCGGUCCUUGCUGCCAUUGAUGACGCUAUACAUGAUGGGGUUGACGUCUUGUCGCUCUCUGUUGGAGGGGUUGGUCAGGAGUACUCUGGGACGUUGCAUGCUGUGCAAAGAGGGAUCUCUGUCGUGUUCACCGGAGGGAAUGAUGGCCCUGUGCCACAGACGGUGACGAAUGCCGUGCCAUGGGUUAAGACCGGUGGCCGCUAG
RNAcentral lists this ribosomal RNA (960 nucleotides) under Triticum aestivum (bread wheat). Its description in RNAcentral is "partial small subunit ribosomal RNA". The record is from RNAcentral. Lineage: Eukaryota; Viridiplantae; Streptophyta; Magnoliopsida; Poales; Poaceae.